RNAcentral lists this non-coding RNA (28 nucleotides) under Homo sapiens (human). Lineage: Eukaryota; Metazoa; Chordata; Mammalia; Primates; Hominidae. The record is from RNAcentral.
UGGAGACAGGGACAGUACUUUUUGAGAU